Molecule: ribosomal RNA, 253 nt
Filed under: uncultured bacterium
Lineage: Bacteria
Description: partial 16S ribosomal RNA
Rfam family: Bacterial small subunit ribosomal RNA
Source: RNAcentral
UACGUAGGGUGCGAGCGUUAAUCGGAAUUACUGGGCGUAAAGGGCUCGUAGGCGGCCAACUAAGUCAGACGUGAAAUCCCCAGGCUUAACCUGGGAACUGCGUCUGAUACUGGAUGGCUUGAAUUCGGGAGAGGGAUGCAGAAUUCCAGGUGUAGCGGUGAAAUGCGUAGAUAUCUGGAGGAAUACCGGUGGCGAAGGCGGCAUCCUGGACCGACAUUGACGCUGAUGAGCGAAAGCUAGGGGAGCAAACGGG